CUACGGGCGGCUGCAGUGGGGAAUAUUGGUCAAUGGGCGAAAGCCUGAACCAGCCAUGCCGCGUGGAUGAAGAAGGCCCUAGGGUUGUAAAGUCCUUUCACCGCUGAAGAUAAUGACGGUAAGCGGAGAAGAAGCCCCGGCUAAUUUCGUGCCAGCAGCCGCGGUAAUACGAAAGGGGCUAGCGUUGUUCGGAAUUACUGGGCGUAAAGCGCACGUAGGCGGCUUUUCAAGUCAGGGGUGAAAUCCCGGAGCUCAACUCCGGAACUGCCUUUGAAACUGGAUCGCUUGAGGCUGUGAGAGGAGAGUGGAAUUCCGAGUGUAGAGGUGAAAUUCGUAGAUAUUCGGAAGAACACCAGUGGCGAAGGCGACUCUCUGGUGCAGUUCUGACGCUGAGGUGCGAAAGCGUGGGGAGCAAACAGGAUUAGAUACCCGGGUAGUC
RNAcentral lists this ribosomal RNA (439 nucleotides) under uncultured bacterium. Its description in RNAcentral is "partial 16S ribosomal RNA". It matches the Rfam family "Bacterial small subunit ribosomal RNA", at positions 339 to 795 of the family's 1533-position model. The record is from RNAcentral.